GAAAUGCGAUAAGUAGUGUGAAUUGCAGAAUUCAGUGAAUCAUCGAGUCUUUGAACGCACAUUGCGCCCCCUGGUAUUCCGGGGGGCAUGCCUGUCCGAGCGUCAUUGCUGCCCUCAAGCACGGCUUGUGUGCUGGGCUUCCGUCCCUGGCAACGGGGACGGGCCCAAAAGGCAGUGGCGGCACCAUGUCUGGUCCUCGAGCGUAUGGGGCUUUGUCACCCGCUCCCGUAGGUCCAGCUGGCAGCUAGCCUCGCAACCAAUCUUUUUAACCAGGUUGACCUCGGAUCAGGUAGGGAUACCCGCUGAACUUAAGC
RNAcentral lists this unclassified non-coding RNA (314 nucleotides) under plant metagenome. RNAcentral describes it as "partial contains 5.8S ribosomal RNA, internal transcribed spacer 2, and large subunit ribosomal RNA". The stretch from base 1 to 105 matches the Rfam family "5.8S ribosomal RNA", at positions 50 to 154 of the family's 154-position model. The record is from RNAcentral.